This 840-nucleotide ribosomal RNA is filed under the name Pseudomonas sp. RNAcentral describes it as "bacterial SSU rRNA". It matches the Rfam family "Bacterial small subunit ribosomal RNA", at positions 51 to 887 of the family's 1533-position model. Lineage: Bacteria; Pseudomonadati; Pseudomonadota; Gammaproteobacteria; Pseudomonadales; Pseudomonadaceae. The record is from RNAcentral.
ACACAUGCAGUCGAGCGGUUGACGGGAGCUUGCUCCCUGAUUCAGCGGCGGACGGGUGAGUAAUGCCUAGGAAUCUGCCUAUUAGUGGGGGACAACGUUUCGAAAGGAACGCUAAUACCGCAUACGUCCUACGGGAGAAAGCAGGGGACCUUCGGGCCUUGCGCUAAUAGAUGAGCCUAGGUCGGAUUAGCUAGUUGGUGAGGUAAUGGCUCACCAAGGCGACGAUCCGUAACUGGUCUGAGAGGAUGAUCAGUCACACUGGAACUGAGACACGGUCCAGACUCCUACGGGAGGCAGCAGUGGGGAAUAUUGGACAAUGGGCGAAAGCCUGAUCCAGCCAUGCCGCGUGUGUGAAGAAGGUCUUCGGAUUGUAAAGCACUUUAAGUUGGGAGGAAGGGUUGUAGAUUAAUACUCUGCAAUUUUGACGUUACCGACAGAAUAAGCACCGGCUAACUCUGUGCCAGCAGCCGCGGUAAUACAGAGGGUGCAAGCGUUAAUCGGAAUUACUGGGCGUAAAGCGCGCGUAGGUGGUUUGUUAAGUUGGAUGUGAAAGCCCCGGGCUCAACCUGGGAACUGCAUCCAAAACUGGCAAGCUAGAGUACGGUAGAGGGUGGUGGAAUUUCCUGUGUAGCGGUGAAAUGCGUAGAUAUAGGAAGGAACACCAGUGGCGAAGGCGACCACCUGGACUGAUACUGACACUGAGGUGCGAAAGCGUGGGGAGCAAACAGGAUUAGAUACCCUGGUAGUCCACGCCGUAAACGAUGUCAACUAGCCGUUGGAAUCCUUGAGAUUUUAGUGGCGCAGCUAACGCAUUAAGUUGACCGCCUGGGGAGUACGGCC